Molecule: ribosomal RNA, 396 nt
Filed under: uncultured bacterium
Lineage: Bacteria
Description: partial 16S ribosomal RNA
Rfam family: Bacterial small subunit ribosomal RNA
Source: RNAcentral
AUACGUAGGGGGCGAGCGUUGUCCGGAAUUACUGGGCGUAAAGGGUGCGUAGGUGGCACUUUAAGUUGGAUGUGAAAUCCCCGUGCUUAACAUGGGAGCUGCAUCCAAUACUGGAGAGCUAGAGUGCAGGAGAGGUAAGCGGAAUUCCUAGUGUAGCGGUGAAAUGCGUAGAUAUUAGGAGGAACACCAGUGGCGAAGGCGGCUUACUGGACUGUAACUGACACUGAGGCACGAAAGCGUGGGGAGCAAACAGGAUUAGAUACCCUGGUAGUCCACGCGGUAAACGAUGAAUACUAGGUGUUGGCAUCCGAAGGAUGUCGGUGCCGUCGCUAACGCAAUAAGUAUUCCACCUGGGGAGUACGUUCGCAAGAAUGAAACUCAAAGGAAUUGACGGGG